Molecule: ribosomal RNA, 277 nt
Filed under: Burkholderia sp. Eis-5
Lineage: Bacteria; Pseudomonadati; Pseudomonadota; Betaproteobacteria; Burkholderiales; Burkholderiaceae
Description: partial 16S rRNA
Rfam family: Bacterial small subunit ribosomal RNA
Source: RNAcentral
AUUGAACGCUGGCGGCAUGCCUUACACAUGCAAGUCGAACGGCAGCGCGGGGGCAACCCUGGCGGCGAGUGGCGAACGGGUGAGUAAUACAUCGGAACGUGUCCUGGAGUGGGGGAUAGCCCGGCGAAAGCCGGAUUAAUACCGCAUACGCUCUGAGGAGGAAAGCGGGGGAUCUUCGGACCUCGCGCUCAAGGGGCGGCCGAUGGCAGAUUACAGAUGGUGGGGUAAAGGCCUACCAAGGCGACGAUCUGUAGCUGGUCUGAGAGGACGACCAGCC